AUUGAACGCUGGCGGCAGGCCUAACACAUGCAAGUCGAGCGGAUGAAGGGAGCUUGCUCCUGGAUUCAGCGGCGGACGGGUGAGUAAUGCCUAGGAAUCUGCCUGGUAGUGGGGGAUAACGUCCGGAAACGGGCGCUAAUACCGCAUACGUCCUGAGGGAGAAAGUGGGGGAUCUUCGGACCUCACGCUAUCAGAUGAGCCUAGGUCGGAUUAGCUAGUUGGUGGGGUAAAGGCCUACCAAGGCGACGAUCCGUAACUGGUCUGAGAGGAUGAGGAGUAACAGUGGAAAGUAGACGGGGUUGAGAGUAGUAAGGGAGGGAGAAGUGGGGAAUAUUGAACAAUGGGGUAGAGUUUGAUGACGACAUGGUGGGUGGAUGAAGAAGGUAUUUGUAUUGUAUAGUUAUUUAAGUGGGGAAGAAGGCAGUACAGUUAAUACCUUUGCUCAUUGAGGGGCCCAACAGAAGAAGCAACGGCUAAUUCCGUG
RNAcentral lists this ribosomal RNA (484 nucleotides) under uncultured bacterium. Its description in RNAcentral is "partial 16S ribosomal RNA". It matches the Rfam family "Bacterial small subunit ribosomal RNA", at positions 30 to 507 of the family's 1533-position model. The record is from RNAcentral.